AAUAAUCAAUAAUUUUGGCUUGUCCAUCAUUAUCUAUUUACUGUGAACUGUAUUAUUACUUGACGCUUGAGGGAUGUUCCAUUGCUAUAAGGAUAGGCAUUGGAAAUGUUAACCGAGUCAUAAUCAAGCUUAGGCUUGGUAUCCUAUUAUUAUUUACCAAAAGAAUUCAGAAUUAAUAUUGUAACAUAGACGUAAAAAAUCUAUAAAACAACUUUUAACAACGGAUCUCUUGGUUCUCGCAUCGAUGAAGAACGUAGCAAAGUGCGAUAACUAGUGUGAAUUGCAUAUUCAGUGAAUCAUCGAGUCUUUGAACGCAACUUGCGCUCAUUGGUAUUCCAAUGAGCAUGCCUGUUUCAGUAUCAAAACAAACCCUCUAUCCAACAUUUGUUGAAUAGGAUGACUGAGAGUCUCUUGAUCUUUAUUGAUCUCGAACCUCUUGAAAUGUACAAAGGCCUGAUCUUGUUUAAAAGCCUGAACUUUUUUUUAAUAUAAAGAGAAGCUCUUGCGGUAAACUGUGCUGGGGCCUCCCAAAUAAUACUUUUUAAAUUUGAUCUGAAAUCAGGUAGGAUUAC
Molecule: ribosomal RNA, 572 nt
Filed under: fungal sp. E14909A
Lineage: Eukaryota; Fungi
Description: eukaryotic LSU rRNA
Rfam family: 5.8S ribosomal RNA (bases 210-362)
Source: RNAcentral